CCUGAGCCCUCGCUCCCGACCUCGUCUCUCUCCUGCCAAAUACCGUCGCCGCCAGAGAGAGGAAGGAGCGCAGCGGACGCACCGAGGAGCAGGGUGUCGCCUCGCUCGCUUCUGCUGACCACCGCCACCUCCACCGCCGUCGACGCCGCGGCGGACGCGGUGAGUCCCAAGCCGCGGGACACUGGGCGCGGCCUCCCCGUCGCAGCGACAGGAAGAGCAGGGCCGCGGGAGCCGGCGACGGCUCCGGCCCGCCCCGAACCUGACCUCCGCCCCCAGGCGAGCUCUGGGUCCGCCGCCCCGUAAUCCGCUCGAGUCGCGCCUAACGCCAUGGUUUAUUGCAGGUGGAGGUGGAGUACGUGCCGGAUAUGCCCGACCUCCGCACCGACGACCCCCUCCCCCUCGGCGCCUUCGCGGCGGCCCCCGCCCCCAGGCGAGCUCCAGUUCCUCCGCCCCGUAAUCUGCUGGAGCCGCGCGCCUAACACGAUGGCGGCGAGAGCAUGGGCGGUCGCGGUGGUGAGGACUAGCUCGAAGAGGAGGAGUCCGCCACUAUGAGGAUUGAGGACCUUGUUCAACAACACUACUCGGGCCUCCAGCAAUGGCAGGUUGGGGAUACCUGAGAUGUGUCCUCUCCGCCUCCAGUAAAGAUUUUCUGUGAUUGUUUGUUUUGCAAUAUAUUAGGCAGUGUUAUUUCUUCAUGUUAUUAGCUGCCCAUUUGAGACGUGAGCAAAAGAACAGCGGCGAUGCACAACCCUACACAGCACCACUCGUUGUCAUCUUGUCGGUCAAGUAGGCGCAUCGGAGGCUGCUCCACGCCUCCACCAUGGAAUCAAAUGGGAAUUCUACUAUACAAGAUUAUAUCAAGGGGAAAGGAUAAGGGAGAAUGGGACUCUAUGAAGAAAGAACAAGAAGGUGUCCCUGAAAAAUAAGCAGCUGGAGAACAACAAGCUUAUUGUUGACUUUCUACAGAAAAUGUCGUAACACCUGAGAAAAUUGCUGAUGAGUUUGUCAAUAAUUUGGCAAUGUGGUGUCGAAGUCUUUGCCCAUGAGGUUACACCUUCAAGGGUGACAUUGAAGAAGCAUUCAGAUGCACAGACAUAACAGAAGAUCAACUUGCACGUACAAGUUGUAUUGCAGACGAUGGGGCCAUGCGGUUGAAUGUGUCUGGUCAAGUUGAGCAAGAAGCAUGAUAUCAUUAACGAGAUGUUCACAAAAUUUCUUCAAAGUUUAUUUGAUGGUGUGGCAUAUUUUUUUCUGGUUAAGUUUUCUGUAUAUUUCUAUAUUUGUUUGUACAAACUGGAAGCUACAGAUGAACUUCAUAUAUACUCUUCCAACUUCGUUCAAUAAGAUCAAAGUAUGC
Molecule: ribosomal RNA, 1357 nt
Filed under: Triticum aestivum (bread wheat)
Lineage: Eukaryota; Viridiplantae; Streptophyta; Magnoliopsida; Poales; Poaceae
Description: partial small subunit ribosomal RNA
Source: RNAcentral